GCUUGGUCACAUGCUUGCUUUAUUCUUUUCUGAUUUGUUUUUGUCUCUGUUUUGUUUUACUGCAGUUUUUCACUUAACCAUAUGAGCCGAGGGUCGAUUGGAAACAACCUCCCUGCCCUUCCGGGUAGGGGUAAAACUCGUCUACAUAUUACCCUCCCCAGACCCCACCUGGUGGGAAUGUACUGGGUAGUAGUUGUUGUUUUUGUUG
Molecule: long non-coding RNA, 208 nt
Filed under: Nicotiana benthamiana
Lineage: Eukaryota; Viridiplantae; Streptophyta; Magnoliopsida; Solanales; Solanaceae
Description: long non-coding RNA (NBEN_LNC007574)
Source: RNAcentral